ACAUAUGCGACGCCUACCUGCAGUCGAGCGGAGAAGGGAGCUUGCUCCUGGAUUCAGCGGCGGACGGGUGAGUAAUGCCUAGGAAUCUGCCUGGUAGUGGGGGAUAACGUCCGGAAACGGGCGCUAAUACCGCAUACGUCCUGAGGGAGAAAGUGGGGGAUCUUCGGACCUCACGCUAUCAGAUGAGCCUAGGUCGGAUUAGCUAGUUGGUGGGGUAAAGGCCUACCAAGGCGACGAUCCGUAACUGGUCUGAGAGGAUGAUCAGUCACACUGGAACUGAGACACGGUCCAGACUCCUACGGGAGGCAGCAGUGGGGAAUAUUGGACAAUGGGCGAAAGCCUGAUCCAGCCAUGCCGCGUGUGUGAAGAAGGUCUUCGGAUUGUAAAGCACUUUAAGUUGGGAGGAAGGGCAGUAAGUUAAUACCUUGCUGUUUUGUUGUUAUCAACAGAAUAAGCACCGGCUAACUUCGUGCCAGCAGCCGCGGUAAUACGAAGGGUGCAAGCGUUAAUCGGAAUUACUGGGCGUAAAGCGCGCGUAGGUGGUUCAGCAAGUUGGAUGUGAAAUCCCCGGGCUCAACCUGGGAACUGCAUCCAAAACUACUGAGCUAGAGUACGGUAGAGGGUGGUGGAAUUUCCUGUGUAGCGGGUGAAAUGCGUAGAUAUAGGAAGGGAACACCAGUGGCGAAGGCGACCACCUGGACUGAUACUGACACUGAGGUGCGAAAGCGUGGGGAGCAACAGGAUUAGAUACCCUGGUAGUCCACGCCGUAACGAUGUCGACUAGCCGGUUGGGAUCCCUUGAGAUCUUAGUGGCGCAGCUAACGCGAUAGUCGACCGCCUGGGGGAGUUACGGCCGCAGAUUAAAACUCAAAUGAAUUGACGGGGGCCGCACAGCCGGUGGGAGCCAUGUGAUUAAUCGGAGCCACGCGAAGAACCUACUUGCUUUGACAUUGCUGAGACCUUCCGAGAAAUGGAAUGGUCGUCCUUCGGAAUCU
Molecule: ribosomal RNA, 995 nt
Filed under: Pseudomonas aeruginosa
Lineage: Bacteria; Pseudomonadati; Pseudomonadota; Gammaproteobacteria; Pseudomonadales; Pseudomonadaceae
Description: bacterial SSU rRNA
Rfam family: Bacterial small subunit ribosomal RNA
Source: RNAcentral